Molecule: long non-coding RNA, 221 nt
Filed under: Mytilus galloprovincialis (Mediterranean mussel)
Lineage: Eukaryota; Metazoa; Mollusca; Bivalvia; Mytilida; Mytilidae
Source: RNAcentral
UGAACAAUUAAGAGAUAACUGUAUUGUAUUUGAAGCUUUAAGGACGUCCAUCGGUAGUUUUACUGUCGCAAAUUUAGUUUACCUGGCGACGCGGAGCGGAGACAGGUAAACGGGUAUUUGCGACAGCAAAACUACCGAUGGACGUCCGCAAAGCUUCAAAUACAAUACAGUUAUCUCUAUUCUAAUGCAAAACAAGUUCAUAAUUAAAUUUCAAUCAUUAU